CUGGAUCAAAGAGAUUGGAAACAAUUAAAUCUAUCUUUAGCCAAAAUUUAAUACUCCUAGAAGAUAAUUCAAUCCCCUCAAUCUACUUCGAGCAAGAUACAACCGGGCCGGGCCUCACUGACUUGCUUGUCGACUACUCGACUACUCCUAGGUUGGUGUGCAUGUAUGGUGGUGGUGAGCUCAGCACAGCUGCUGUUAGGCUGUUAGCAAAGGUCAUCCAGGCUCCACAGGCCGUACUCGAAAUCCUCAAACCCAAAGUCCUGCAGCUGCAGGCCGAUCAUGGAGCUGUACUCGUCGUCAGGGCCGCCGGUAGCGGUGACGAGGAGCUCCGAUGUGGUCGACCCGGCGAACACGUCGUCGUCAGUCGUAGUUUGUUCGUAGCCUUGGUCGUUCGUCGUCGGGGUCGCCGUGGCCGCCGAGGUGUAAGUGUAAGCUGCAGUGUAAUGCGACGCGUCGUCCGCCCUGAGCGACGACGACCGCAGCGCGCUGGAGGCGUCGUCGGGGCUGAGGGCCGUGGCCGCCGACGUCGGGCCUGCCGGCUCGCUGUAGUAUUGGUGGUGGUGGUGAGCUUCGCUCGCCGCCGUCACGCCGCGGUGGGCGCCUUGCUGCUGCACCAGGUGUUGGCUCCCGCAGUAGUUAUAACACGCGGGCGGCGCGCUGGCCGUGGUGGUAGCUGGAGCCUGUACGCCGCCGGCCUGGGCGCGCUCUCGCAGGCGAGGCAUCCAGACGUGGCGCACGAUGUGGCGGAAGUGGGCGCUGUUGACGUCGCAGCGGAGGUGCCUGGCGUGCUUCUGCACGCGGGUGCGCCAGUAGUUCUUGAUCUCGUUGUCGGUGCGCCCGGGGAGCUGCUGCGCGAUCUUGGACCACCUGUUGCCCCAGCGCGAGUGCAGGUCCAGGAUCAGCAGCUGCUCCUCGGCGGUUAUGUUGCCCCGCCGCACGUUGGGCCGCAGGUAGUUCAGCCACCGCAGGCGGCAGCUCUUGCCGGUGCGUUUCAGGCCCGCGGAGCGGGCGAGCGAGUUCCAGCGGCCCUCGCCGUGGGCGGCGAUGUAGUUGACGAGGAGGAUGUCCUCGUCCACCGUCCAGGGGCCCCUCCGGAGGUCGUCGGCGCUAUCCGCGGCGGCGGCCUCCUCAUCGUCGCUGCUGCCUGCUGGGACGACAGCUAGUGGUGCUGGUGCGGCGGCGUUGGGCGCAGACGACGUCGCCGAGCUGUCGGCGGGGCCCAUCGCCGCCAGCACCUGGUCUAGGUCCUCAUCGAAGCCCAUCAUGGCCAUGUCCAUGUCCAUGUGACCAUGUCCAUGCUAGACAUAGAGUAGUGGUGGAUCGGAAUCGGCCGGGUCAGAUGCUGAGUGAGCUCGAUCAAUCAGCUGCAGUGGAGAAGAGCAAGAAAAAGGGUUGGACAACGAUGAUGUGUACUGAGAGUUGAGGGGUUGAUGGAGGCGGAUC
RNAcentral lists this unclassified non-coding RNA (1443 nucleotides) under Zea mays. Its description in RNAcentral is "misc RNA Zm00001eb417180". The record is from RNAcentral. Lineage: Eukaryota; Viridiplantae; Streptophyta; Magnoliopsida; Poales; Poaceae.